Molecule: ribosomal RNA, 468 nt
Filed under: uncultured bacterium
Lineage: Bacteria
Description: partial 16S ribosomal RNA
Rfam family: Bacterial small subunit ribosomal RNA
Source: RNAcentral
GACGAACGCUGGCGGCGUGCUUAACACAUGCAAGUCGAACGGAAAGGCCCUGCUUUUGCGGGGUGCUCGAGUGGCGAACGGGUGAGUAACACGUGAGUAACCUGCCCUUGACUUUGGGAUAACUUCAGGAGACUGGGGCUAAUACCGGAUAGGAGCUCCUGCUGCAUGGUGGGGGUUGGAAAGUUUCGGCGGUUGGGGAUGGACUCGCGGCUUAUCAGCUUGUUGGUGGGGUAGUGGCUUACCAAGGCUUUGACGGGUAGCCGGCCUGAGAGGGUGACCGGCCACAUUGGGACUGAGAUACGGCCCAGACUCCUACGGGAGGCAGCAGUGGGGAAUAUUGCACAAUGGGCGGAAGCCUGAUGCAGCAACGCCGCGUGCGGGAUGACGGCCUUCGGGUUGUAAACCGCUUUCGCCUGUGACGAAGCGUGAGUGACGGUAAUGGGUAAAGAAGCACCGGCUAACUACGUG